AUAGAAAUAUUGUCUACAAAUAACAUUUUAGAUACCAUGUCUAUUGGUUCUGUAUUUCUUCCUAUCACGUAGAGAUCAUGCCUAUAGAGUUUCCUAAAUUCUUCAUAUGCAUAUGUCACUAGGCAGACAUACUUAUAGGUUUAAAUAACAAAUGACAUUUUUAGAUACCAUUCCUAUAGGACUUCUACACUCUUAUUUCGAAUAAAGAAAGUGUUUAGAGUCAAUAACACUUAGAAAGCAUGCCUAUAGGAGUAAUCGAUUCAUCUGAACCAACCAUUUUCUUAUGAGUUUAAAAUUAGUGGCAGCCUUUUCGAAAUAUCUGCAGAACUUACGUUCCUGUAGUUAAUAAAUCUUUUCUGAAAUCAGUAUACCUCUUUCCCAUAUUAUUAGAUAUCAUGUCUAUAGGUCUCAUUUAGGCAAGCUAUAUAGUAACUUAUAUAUCGAAUUAGAUUCUAUUAACUCCAGCCAGUAGGCAGGCCUGACUCGGGCUUCUCAUAUGAAAUAUGUAAUAGAUCAAUUCGCCUCAUUUCUUAAAUUUAAUCAGACCAUAACUAGUACAUGCGAGACAUGCUAAAGAAUCUUGUCUUUAAGUGAGGAGGCGUGCUUGAGCCUUUUGAACUAUUAUGUGCUUUCCCAAACUUGCUUUCUAUGUUUUGUUUGUAGCCCUAGAUUUUCUCCUUUAAACCAUAAAGCCCAGAUCUCCCCUUCAUUUAGGAUUAGUAGUCUCAUGUGCCUCCGGGACUGAUAGGACUAGGGACAGGUAGUAGCAUGCAAUAAGAAACGAGACCAUUCCGCAUUUUAAUACCUUAACGGUUUAGGAAAGGGUAGAUAUGGACAGGAUGACCGGUGCGCUAAUAUCACGUGUAGCCCCUCUUUUGAGGAGAGAUUACCGGGUAUUGCAUUGACGUAAUCCAUAUUAUUUAUAAACCUAGGACCCCCUUUCCCUUACUUUUUUAUCUUUCAGAAUAAAGAAAAUUGCUCAACUUUCAGC
Molecule: long non-coding RNA, 991 nt
Filed under: Nicotiana benthamiana
Lineage: Eukaryota; Viridiplantae; Streptophyta; Magnoliopsida; Solanales; Solanaceae
Description: long non-coding RNA (NBEN_LNC026832)
Source: RNAcentral